RNAcentral lists this ribosomal RNA (649 nucleotides) under uncultured Xanthobacter sp. RNAcentral describes it as "bacterial SSU rRNA". It matches the Rfam family "Bacterial small subunit ribosomal RNA", at positions 59 to 756 of the family's 1533-position model. The record is from RNAcentral. Lineage: Bacteria; Pseudomonadati; Pseudomonadota; Alphaproteobacteria; Hyphomicrobiales; Xanthobacteraceae.
AAGUCGAGCGCCCAGCAAUGGGAGCGGCAGACGGGUGAGUAACGCGUGGGGAUCUACCCAUUGGUACGGAAUAACCCAGGGAAACUUGGACUAAUACCGUAUGUGCCCUUCGGGGGAAAGAUUUAUCGCCAAUGGAUGAACCCGCGUCGGAUUAGCUAGUUGGUGGGGUAAAGGCUCACCAAGGCGACGAUCCGUAGCUGGUCUGAGAGGAUGAUCAGCCACACUGGGACUGAGACACGGCCCAGACUCCUACGGGAGGCAGCAGUGGGGAAUAUUGGACAAUGGGCGCAAGCCUGAUCCAGCCAUGCCGCGUGAGUGAUGAAGGCCUUAGGGUUGUAAAGCUCUUUCGCCGGUGAAGAUAAUGACGGUAACCGGAGAAGAAGCCCCGGCUAACUUCGUGCCAGCAGCCGCGGUAAUACGAAGGGGGCUAGCGUUGCUCGGAAUCACUGGGCGUAAAGCGCACGUAGGCGGAUCGUUAAGUCAGGGGUGAAAUCCUGGGGCUCAACCUCAGAACUGCCCUUGAUACUGGCGAUCUCGAGUUCGAGAGAGGUUGGUGGAACUCCGAGUGUAGAGGUGAAAUUCGUAGAUAUUCGGAAGAACACCAGUGGCGAAGGCGGCCAACUGGCUCGAUACUGACGCUGAGGUGCGA